UCACCAAGUAGGUCCAUAUCAAAAUACUCGAACAAACUCUUAUGAACCACACCCGUAGCCGCGUAUUCUGGAUCACCUGCCCUCCCUGCAACCACGCCAUUUUAUCACUGCUCCUCCCCUGCACCGACACACUCUCCGAUCUGCCCACCUCCAUUUCUCCUCCCCUUCAGUCCUCAUCGCAGAGUCCUCAUUCCCGAAUCAAACCGAACAGUUUUUCGAGUGUUUUCUAAAUAGUUGUUAGAGUUGAUUGGGUCAAUCAAAAUUCAGUCGAACCUCCGAUCAAAUUCCGAUCACCAUAUCAAAACUACAGCCACCGGCAAGACGAGUCCAGCCAGCGCCGGUCACGCCCGGCCAAAGAAGGCGGGUCGCUUUCUCCGACCGUGGAGAUGGCGACCAGUUUGGGAUCUCCAGUUUGGGAUUGUUUGGGAUCUACACUGGGUGUUUGGGAUUGUAUUGGGUGUACUAGGAUUAAAUAAUACUUAGAACCCGCAGCUAGAAUAAGCUUUAAAACACCCAGUACAAUCCCAAACCGGCGACGAUCCGGCGUCGUGAUAGGCAGGGCAGGUGAAUCCCGAGAAAUGUGCGGUCUCAGCCUGGCCAACCAUGGGUGAAUGCGAGGUAGCCUCAUGGUGGGGCUUCCGCCCUGUCCGAUCUAACCCGCGAGAGAGAAUCAUGCCGCACAAACUGAAAACCAGGAGUUUCUUCCACCCUGUCCGAUCUAUGAAAUAUAUGCUCACGACGGAGUUGACGGCGUUGAGCCCGGCGGUGACUAGCGAAAGGAAGAGCGCCAUCCGGUUUGAGGCGAUACCUGCCAGCUGAACUAUGGUGGGGCUGUAAUACAUGACGGUGCACUGGAUCUACACUGGGUGUUUGGGAUUGUACACUUGGUCGCCAUCUCUUGGAGAUGGCGACCAGUUUGGUCACCAUCUCCACGAGCGGAGAAGGCGACCAGCCUUCUCCGGUUGGGCGUGACCGCGCCGGCAGGACUCAACUGGCGCCGAUGACUGUAGUUUUGAUUUCGUGACCGGAAUUUGAUCGGAGGUUCGCCGGAAGUUUGAUUGACCUGCAAUCACAGGUCACAAAUGAGUAAAAGGUUUUAUUUGUUCCAAAAUAACAAGUUUGAGUGCCUAAUUGGAUCUUUUUGAAGUUGGAGGACCUGAUUGCACAAUGUCCUAUAGUUUGAGGGUCUAUUUGACCCUUAUCCCUAAUAAAAUUAGUGUGUGAAAAAUAAAAUUUAAAAACAUAGCUCA
Molecule: long non-coding RNA, 1250 nt
Organism: Ipomoea triloba (trilobed morning glory)
Lineage: Eukaryota; Viridiplantae; Streptophyta; Magnoliopsida; Solanales; Convolvulaceae
Exons: 2
Source: RefSeq, a predicted model, not a curated record